RNAcentral lists this ribosomal RNA (460 nucleotides) under uncultured bacterium. RNAcentral's name for it is "partial 16S ribosomal RNA". It matches the Rfam family "Bacterial small subunit ribosomal RNA", at positions 338 to 795 of the family's 1533-position model. The record is from RNAcentral.
CCUACGGGGGGCAGCAGUGAGGAAUAUUGGUCAAUGGACGCAAGUCUGAACCAGCCAUGCCGCGUGCAGGAUGACGGCUCUAUGAGUUGUAAACUGCUUUUGUACGAGGGUAAACGCAUAUACGCGUAUCUUUCUGAAUGUAUCGUACGAAUAAGGAUCGGCUAACUCCGUGCCAGCAGCCGCGGUAAUACGGAGGAUUCAAGCGUUAUCCGGAUUUAUUGGGUUUAAAGGGUGCGUAGGCGGUCGGAUAAGUUAGAGGUGAAAUCCCGAGGCUCAACUUCGGAAUUGCCUCUGAUACUGUUCGGCUAGAGAGUAGUAGCGGUAGGCGGAAUGUAUGGUGUAGCGGUGAAAUGCUUAGAGAUCAUACAGAACACCGAUUGCGAAGGCAGCUUACCAAGCUACUUCUGACGUUGAGGCACGAAAGCGUGGGGAGCAAACAGGAUUAGAUACCCUAGUAGUC